This 40-nucleotide transfer RNA is filed under the name Ozobranchus margoi. RNAcentral describes it as "partial tRNA-Leu". Lineage: Eukaryota; Metazoa; Annelida; Clitellata; Hirudinida; Ozobranchidae. The record is from RNAcentral.
UUUAAACCCUAAAUAUGAGUCUUAUGAUUCCUAUACUAAU